GUAGGUGGCGAGCGUUGUCCGGAUUACUGGGCGUAAAGACGCGCGCAGGGCGGGCUGGUCAGUCCGGGGGGUGGAAAUACUCACGGCUCAACUGUGAGGAGUCCCCGGACUACUGCCCAGUCUUGAGGUGCCUAGAGGAGAGUGGAAUUACCCGGUCGUAGUGGUGGAAUGCGUAGAUAUCGGGAGGGAACACCAGUGGCGAAAGACGGCUCUCUGGGGGCGGACCUGACGCUGAGGGCGCGAAAGCGUGGGGAGCGAACCGGAUUAGAUACCCGGGUAGUCCACGCCGUAAACGAUGAGCACUAGCUGUCGGGGGUAUCGACCCCCUCGGUAGCGCAGCUAACGCGUUAAGUGCUCCGCCUGGGGACUACGGCCGCAAGGCUA
This 384-nucleotide ribosomal RNA is filed under the name uncultured organism. RNAcentral's name for it is "partial 16S ribosomal RNA". It matches the Rfam family "Bacterial small subunit ribosomal RNA", at positions 527 to 896 of the family's 1533-position model. The record is from RNAcentral.